GGAGAGACAGGAGACAGACGGUAGUAAUGGAAAGACAGUAGACAGACAGUAGUAACGGAGAGGGGAGACAGUAGACAGACGGUAGUAAUGGAGAGGAGAGAGACAGUAGACAGUAGACAAACGGUAGUAACGGAGACAGUAGACAGUAGACAAACGGUAGUAACGGAGACAGUAGACAGACGGUAGUAACGGAGAGGAGAGAGACAGUAGACAAACGGUAGUAACAGAGACAGUAGACAGACAGUAGUAACGGAGAGGGGAGACAGUAGAGAGUAGUAACGGAGACAGUAGACAGUAGACAGGCGGUAGUAACGGAGAGGAGAGACAGGAGACAGACGGUAGUAACGGAGAGACAGUAGACAGACGGUCCUAACGGAGACAGUAGUAACGGAGACGGGAGCGACAGUAGUAACGGAGACGGGGGCGACAGUAGACAGUACAACAGUAGUAACGGAGAGGGGAGCGACAGUAGACAGUAGUAACGGAGACAGUAGACAGUAGUAACGGAGAGGGGAGCGGCAGGAGACAAACGGUAGUAACGGAGACAGUAGACACGGAGACAACAGACAGUAGUAACGGAGAGGGGAGCGACAGUAGAC
Oncorhynchus tshawytscha (Chinook salmon) is the source of this 599-nucleotide long non-coding RNA. The record is from Ensembl. NCBI's taxonomy places the organism in Eukaryota, Metazoa, Chordata, Actinopteri, Salmoniformes, Salmonidae.